UGCGUCGACGGCAGGCCUAAGAUAUGGGGUGCGAACGGACCCUUCGGGGUUAGUGGGGGACGGGUGAGUAACACGUGGGAACGUGCCUUUAGGUUCGGAAUAGCUCCUGGAAACGGGUGGUAAUGCCGAAUGUGCCCUUCGGGGGAAAGAUUUAUCGCCUUUAGAGCGGCCCGCGUCUGAUUAGCUAGUUGGUGAGGUAAUGGCUCACCAAGGCGACGAUCAGUAGCUGGUCUGAGAGGAUGACCAGCCACAUUGGGACUGAGACACGGCCCAAACUCCUACGGGAGGCAGCAGUGGGGAAUCUUGCGCAAUGGGCGAAAGCCUGACGCAGCCAUGCCGCGUGAAUGAUGAAGGUCUUAGGAUUGUAAAAUUCUUUCACCGGGGACGAUAAUGACGGUACCCGGAGAAGAAGCCCCGGCUAACUUCGUGCCAGCAGCCGCGGUAAUACGAAGGGGGCUAGCGUUGCUCGGAAUUACUGGGCGUAAAGGGCGCGUAGGCGGAUCGUUAAGUCAGAGGUGAAAUCCCGGAGCUCAACUUCGGAACUGCCUUUGAUACUGGCGAUCUUGAGUGUGAGAGAGGUAUGUGGAACUCCGAGUGUAGAGGUGAAAUUCGUAGAUAUUCGGAAGAACACCAGUGGCGAAAGCGACAUACUGGCUCAUUACUGACGCUGAGGCGCGAAAGCGUGGGGAGCAAACAGGAUUAGAUACCCUGGUAGUCCACGCCGUAAACGAUGAUUGCUAGUUGUCGGGGCUGCAUGCAGUUCGGUGACGCAGCUAACGCAUUAAGCAAUCCGCCUGGGGAGUACGGUCGCAGAUUAAAACUCAAAGGAAUUGACGGCGGCCCGCACAGCGGUGGAGCAUGUGGUUUAAUUCGAGCACGCGCAGANCUUACCACUUUUUGACAUGCCUGGACGGCUANGAGAUGUG
Molecule: ribosomal RNA, 926 nt
Filed under: Brevundimonas sp. T-19
Lineage: Bacteria; Pseudomonadati; Pseudomonadota; Alphaproteobacteria; Caulobacterales; Caulobacteraceae
Description: bacterial SSU rRNA
Rfam family: Bacterial small subunit ribosomal RNA
Source: RNAcentral